AUGGCGCAGGCGGCGGAGGGGGACAAACCACAGGAGGAGGAGGAGCACGAGGAGGAGGUGAUCAUCGUCGGGGCGGGCCCGUCGGGCCUGGCGGCCGCCGCGUGCCUGUCGCUGCGCGGGGUGCGGAGCCUCGUCCUGGAGCGCGACGACUGCGUGGGGUCGCUGUGGCGGAACCGCACCUACGACCGCAUCCGCCUCCACCUCGCCAAGCAGCACUCGGCGCUGCCGCACGCGCCGCACGGCCCCGCGGCCCCGACCUACCUCCCGCGCGACGACUUCGUGCGCUACCUCGACGACUACGCGGCCCGCUUCGGCGUCCGCGUCCGGCUCCGCCGCGAGGUCCGCGAGGCCCGCUUCGACGAGGCGCGGGGCGCGUGGGUCGUCGAGGCCGUCGACCACGCCACCGGGCUGGUGGAGCGCUACGCCGCGAGGUACCUGGUGGCCGCCGCUGGGGAGAACGACGAGAAGGUGCUGCCGGAGGUGCCGGGGCUGGACGGCUUCCCCGGGAAUGUGAUGCACGCCUGCGAGUACCGGACGGGCAAGGGGAUGGAGGGGAAGGCGGUGCUCGUCGUCGGGUCCGGCAACUCCGGCAUGGAGAUCGCCUACGACCUCGCCGAGGCCGGCGCCGCCACCUCCAUCAUCAUCCGCAGCGAGCUCCACCUUGUGACCAAGGAGAUCUGGAACGUGGCGAUGACGCUAUACAGGUACCUGCCGCUGUGGCUGAUUGACAGGAUCGUGCUGCUCAUGUGCAGCGUCGUGUUCGGGGACACCUCCCGCUACGGCCUCCGCCGGCCCGCCAUUGGGCCCUUCUCCAUGAAGAUCCACACCCCAGCCUACCCUGUCGUUGACGUCGGCACCUAUGCCAAGAUCAAGACCGGCGAGAUCCAGGUCCUGCCGGCGAUGAAGGCUGUGCAUGGGAACGUCGUGGAGUUUGCAGACGGCAAGCGGCACCCGUUCGAUGCCAUCGUCUUCGCCACCGGCUACCGGAGCACAACCAAGAAGUGGCUCAAGAGCGACGAUGGGCUGAUAGGCGAGGACGGGAUGGCGCGGCGGAGCUUCCCGGAGCACUGGAAGGGGGAGAACGGCCUCUACUGCGCGGGGAUGGUGAGGAGGGGCCUCUACGGGAGCUGUGAGGACGCCGAGUCCAUAGCCGAGGACAUCAGCAAGAAGAAGAAGCCAGAUCAAGCCUGA
RNAcentral lists this ribosomal RNA (1191 nucleotides) under Triticum aestivum (bread wheat). Its description in RNAcentral is "partial small subunit ribosomal RNA". The record is from RNAcentral. Lineage: Eukaryota; Viridiplantae; Streptophyta; Magnoliopsida; Poales; Poaceae.